CCUACGGGAGGCAGCAGUGAGGAAUAUUGGUCAAUGGGCGCGAGCCUGAACCAGCCAAGUCGCGUGAGGGAAGACGGUCCUAUGGAUUGUAAACCUCUUUUGUCGGGGAGCAAAAGACGCCACGCGUGGCGUUCCGAGAGUACCCGAAGAAAAAGCAUUGGCUAACUCCGUGCCAGCAGCCGCGGUAAUACGGAGGAUGCGAGCGUUAUCCGGAUUUAUUGGGUUUAAAGGGUGCGCAGGCGGAAGAUCAAGUCAGCGGUAAAAUUGAGAGGCUCAACCUCUUCGAGCCGUUGAAACUGGUGUUCUUGAGUGAGUGAGAAGUAGGCGGAAUGCGUGGUGUAGCGGUGAAAUGCAUAGAUAUCACGCAGAACUCCGAUUGCGAAGGCAGCAUACCGGCGCUCAACUGACGCUCAUGCACGAAAGUGUGGGUAUCGAACAGGAUUAGAUACCCUGGUAGUC
RNAcentral lists this ribosomal RNA (459 nucleotides) under uncultured bacterium. Its description in RNAcentral is "partial 16S ribosomal RNA". It matches the Rfam family "Bacterial small subunit ribosomal RNA", at positions 338 to 795 of the family's 1533-position model. The record is from RNAcentral.